GGUGGCUCAGUGGUAGAACGCUUGCCUUGCAUGCAUGAGGUCCUAGGUUCGAUUCCUCAGCACCA
This is a non-coding RNA of Dipodomys ordii (Ord's kangaroo rat), 65 nucleotides long. NCBI's taxonomy places the organism in Eukaryota, Metazoa, Chordata, Mammalia, Rodentia, Heteromyidae. The record is from Rfam.